RNAcentral lists this ribosomal RNA (725 nucleotides) under uncultured bacterium. Its description in RNAcentral is "bacterial SSU rRNA". It matches the Rfam family "Bacterial small subunit ribosomal RNA", at positions 97 to 799 of the family's 1533-position model. The record is from RNAcentral.
GGCGCACGGGUGAGUAACGCGUGGAUAAUCUACCUUUUAGUUUGGAAUAACGUACCGAAAGGUGCGCUAAUACCGGAUGAUACUGCACAACUACUGUUGUGUCGUCAAAGAAGGCUUCUGUUUACAUGCUUUGCUGAAAGAUGAGUCCGCGUACCAUUAGCUAGUUGGUAGGGUAAUGGCCUACCAAGGCUACGAUGGUUAGCUGGUCUGAGAGGAUGAUCAGCCACACUGGAACUGAGACACGGUCCAGACUCCUACGGGAGGCAGCAGUGAGGAAUAUUGCGCAAUGGGGGCAACCCUGACGCAGCAACGCCGCGUGAGUGAGGAAGGUUUUCGGACCGUAAAGCUCUGUCGAGCGGGAAGAAAAUGCAUGGUGGCUAAUAUCCCAUCAUGCUUGACGGUACCGCUAAAGGAAGCACCGGCUAACUCCGUGCCAGCAGCCGCGGUAAUACGGGGGGUGCAAGCGUUGUUCGGAAUUAUUGGGCGUAAAGAGCGUGUAGGCGGCUGAAUAAGUCAGAUGUGAAAUCCCUGGGCUUAACCCAGGACGUGCAUUUGAAACUAUUCAGCUUGAGUAGGGGAGAGGAAAGUGGAAUUCCUGGUGUAGAGGUGAAAUUCGUAGAUAUCGGGAGGAACGCCGGUGGCGAAGGCGACUUUCUGGCCCUAUACUGACGCUGAGACGCGAGAGCGUGGGUAGCGAACGGGAUUAGAUACCCUGGUAGUCCACG